Molecule: ribosomal RNA, 1005 nt
Filed under: Bacillus sp. (in: firmicutes)
Lineage: Bacteria; Bacillati; Bacillota; Bacilli; Caryophanales; Bacillaceae
Description: bacterial SSU rRNA
Rfam family: Bacterial small subunit ribosomal RNA
Source: RNAcentral
AAUCAUGCAAGUCGAAGCGGACAGAUGGGAAGCUUGCUCCCUGAUGUUAGCGGCGGACGGGUGAGUAACACGUGGGUAACCUGCCUGUAAGACUGGGAUAACUCCGGGAAACCGGGGCUAAUACCGGAUGCUUGUUUGAACCGCAUGGUUCAAACAUAAAAGGUGGCUUCGGCUACCACUUACAGAUGGACCCGCGGCGCAUUAGCUAGUUGGUGAGGUAAUGGCUCACCAAGGCAACGAUGCGUAGCCGACCUGAGAGGGUGAUCGGCCACACUGGGACUGAGACACGGCCCAGACUCCUACGGGAGGCAGCAGUAGGGAAUCUUCCGCAAUGGACGAAAGUCUGACGGAGCAACGCCGCGUGAGUGAUGAAGGUUUUCGGAUCGUAAAGCUCUGUUGUUAGGGAAGAACAAGUACCGUUCGAAUAGGGCGGUACCUUGACGGUACCUAACCAGAAAGCCACGGCUAACUACGUGCCAGCAGCCGCGGUAAUACGUAGGUGGCAAGCGUUGUCCGGAAUUAUUGGGCGUAAAGGGCUCGCAGGCGGUUCCUUAAGUCUGAUGUGAAAGCCCCCGGCUCAACCGGGGAGGGUCAUUGGAAACUGGGGAACUUGAGUGCAGAAGAGGAGAGUGGAAUUCCACGUGUAGCGGUGAAAUGCGUAGAGAUGUGGAGGAACACCAGUGGCGAAGGCGACUCUCUGGUCUGUAACUGACGCUGAGGAGCGAAAGCGUGGGGAGCGAACAGGAUUAGAUACCCUGGUAGUCCACGCCGUAAACGAUGAGUGCUAAGUGUUAGGGGUUUCCGCCCCUUAGUGCUGCAGCUAACGCAUUAAGCACUCCGCCUGGGGAGUACGGUCGCAAGACUGAACUCAAGGAAUUGACGGGGCCCGCACAGCGGUGGAGCAUGUGGUUUAAUUCGAGCACGCGAGACCUUACCAGUCUGACAUCCUCUGACAUCCUAGAGAUAGGACGUCCCUCGGGGCAGAGUGACAGUGUGCAUGUGUCG